Molecule: ribosomal RNA, 1469 nt
Filed under: activated sludge metagenome
Description: bacterial LSU rRNA
Rfam family: Bacterial large subunit ribosomal RNA
Source: RNAcentral
GCCAAUCAAACUGGGAGAUAGCUCGUACUCCCCGAAAUGCAUUUAGGUGCAGCGUCGGCGAGAGUGUGAUGGAGGUAGAGCUACCGAUAGGGCUAGGGGGCGUCACUGCCUACCAACCCCUGACGAACUCCGAAUGCCAUUACACUGCACCGGCAGUGAGGCUAUGGGUGCUAAGGUCCAUAGCCGAGAGGGAAACAACCCAGACCAACCGCUAAGGUCCCAAAUUUAUAUCUAAGUUGAGCAAACGAUGUGAGAAUGCACAGACAGCUAGGAUGUUGGCUUGGAAGCAGCCAUUCAUUUAAAGAGUGCGUAACAGCUCACUAGUCGAGCGUUCUUGCGCGGAAAAUGAUCGGGCAUAAAGGUAUAAACCGAAGCGUUGGACCACGUGAGUGGUGGUAGGGGAGCAUUCUAAUUGAGGAGAAGGUAUGUUGUGAGGCAUAUUGGAUUGAUUAGAAAAGAAAAUGUAGGCAUAAGUAACGAUAAGGGAGGUGAGAUGCCUUCCCGCCGUAAGACCAAGGAUUCCUGGAUCUAUGUUAAUCAGAUCAGGGUUAGUCGGGGCCUAAGGAGUAGCCGAGAGGCGAAUCUGAUGGGAAACCGGUUAAUAUUCCGGUACCUGUGUAUACUGCGAUGGGGUGACGGAGAGGCGUAAGGACUGCGUACUGACGGAAUAGUACGUUGAAGCGAGUAGGUGAUGAGACGGCAGGCAAAUCCGCCGUUGAGCUGAUGCGUGAUAGUACAGGGUUUUGCGUGCAAGACCUUGAUAAUGUCCCUAAGCGAGCUUCCAAGAAAACCCUCUAAGCUUCAGGUAUACAGAGCCCGUACCGUAAACCGACACAGGUGGUCGAGGAGAGUAUCCUAAGGCGCUCGAGUGAAUCAUGGCUAAGGAAUUAGGCAAAAUGGCCUCGUAACUUCGGGAGAAGAGGCGCUCAUAGAAAUGUGAGCCGCAGUGAAAAGGCCCAGGCGACUGUUUAGCAAAAACACAGGACUCUGCGAAUUCGAAAGAAGAAGUAUAGGGUCUGACACCUGCCCGGUGCUGGAAGGUUAAGGAAGGGGGUUAGCAGCGAUGCGAAGCUCUUGACUGAAGCCCCAGUAAACGGCGGCCGUAACUAUAACGGUCCUAAGGUAGCGAAAUUCCUUGUCGGGUAAGUUCCGACCUGCACGAAUGGUGUAACGAUCUGGGCACUGUCUCAGCCAUGAGCUCGGUGAAAUUGAAGUAUCGGUGAAGAUGCCGGUUACCCGCAGUGGGACGAAAAGACCCCGUGCACCUUUACUAUAGCUUCACAUUGAGCUUGAGUAUAAGAUGUGUAGGAUAGGUGGGAGACUGAGAAGCUGUCACGUCAGUGGUGGUGGAGUCGACGUUGAAAUACCACCCUUUUUAUACUUAGGUUCUAACUCCACUGAAGGUGGAGGACAUUGUGUGGUGGGUAGUUUGACUGGGGUGGUCGCCUCCAAAAGAGUAACGGAGGCUU